Molecule: ribosomal RNA, 445 nt
Filed under: uncultured bacterium
Lineage: Bacteria
Description: partial 16S ribosomal RNA
Rfam family: Bacterial small subunit ribosomal RNA
Source: RNAcentral
CCUACGGGUGGCUGCAGUGGGGAAUAUUGCACAAUGGACGGAAGUCUGAUGCAGCAACGCCGCGUGCGGGAUGACGGCCUUCGGGUUGUAAACCGCUUUCAUCCAUGACGAAGCGCAAGUGACGGUAGUGGGAGAAGAAGCACCGGCUAACUACGUGCCAGCAGCCGCGGUGAUACGUAGGGUGCGAGCGUUGUCCGGAUUUAUUGGGCGUAAAGAGCUUGUAGGUGGUUUGUUGCGUCGGGAGUGAAAACCUAGGGCUUAACCCUGGGCCUGCUUCUGAUACGGGCAGACUUGAGGAAGGUAGGGGAGAUCGGAAUUCCUGGUGGAGCGGUGGAAUGCGCAGAUAUCAGGAGGAACACCGGUGGCGAAGGCGGAUCUCUGGACCUUUCCUGACGCUGAGAAGCGAAAGCGUGGGGAGCAAACAGGAUUAGAUACCCGAGUAGUC